CCAACGGGUGGCAGCAGUGGGGAAUAUUGGGCAAUGGGCGCAAGCCUGACCCAGCAACGCCGCGUGAGGGAAGAAGGCCUUCGGGUUGUAAACCUCUGUCCUUAGGGACGAAAAAAAUGACGGUACCUAAGGAGGAAGCUCCGGCUAACUACGUGCCAGCAGCCGCGGUAAUACGUAGGGAGCAAGCGUUGUCCGGAAUUACUGGGCGUAAAGGGUGCGUAGGCGGCUUGGCAAGUCAGAUGUGAAAUCCCCGGGCUUAACUCGGGGGGUGCAUUUGAAACUGCUGAGCUUGAGUGCAGGAGAGGAAAGCGGAAUUCCUAGUGUAGCGGUGAAAUGCGUAGAUAUUAGGAGGAACACCAGUGGCGAAGGCGGCUUUCUGGACUGUAACUGACGCUGAGGCACGAAAGCGUGGGGAGCAAACA
This 422-nucleotide ribosomal RNA is filed under the name uncultured prokaryote. Its description in RNAcentral is "bacterial SSU rRNA". It matches the Rfam family "Bacterial small subunit ribosomal RNA", at positions 338 to 774 of the family's 1533-position model. The record is from RNAcentral.